AGCAACUCUCAUGUAAGCCAACAUCUUGUCAUAGUCAGGAAUGUUCUCUUUAAUCACAGGAACUUCAAUGAAGUUCUUAGCCCAAGCAUGUAAUUUAGGUAACGUGCUUGGUUCCAGCACUUUUACACCCACUGCUUCUUCCAUCGCCGGCAACCAGUAAGCACAUGGUCCAUAUGAGAUGUCUACUAGAUUUAUAUUGUCGCCCCCAAAAAACUUUUUGUCUCCGAGGGCUUGAUCUUCUAGGAUUUUCAGCACUUCCAUUAUUUCUUUUGCUGCCUUCUCCUUUUCUUCUUCGCUUGCUACGAAGAACGCUCCAAAAGCAUCGGCACACUGGAUUAUAAGGGGGAAAAAAUGGUCAUGGAGGCAUUUCGUAAACAAAAAUAAAUGAUUGAGUGCAAAUUUCUAAUUCCUGUGGACAUUUCCAAGAAAAAAUAGUGAAAAAAAUAUUAAUUUAAAUAUUUUCUAAAAACUUUUUAUAAAACCAUCUGAUGGCUAAGAAGAUAUGCUAAUUUUUUAUAUCUUUUACGUUCAAACUUUAAAAUCAUUAAAAGAAAUCAUUAAUUUUUUCUACAUAUACCAUGUCAAUGUGGUGAAUAAGCUUCUAAGAUCAUUAAAAAAAAAAAAGGAUAGGACUGCCCCCCAAAAUAUUGUUAGGCCUUGUGAACUCUGUAGCACAGUGUGUGUAUCUAUCUAUGUUACAUAGGGUAAUUGAGGCCAUGGGUUCACGGGAAUUGUUUACCUUGGUGGCUCCGUAUUGGAUCCAAAAUCGAGCCAUGGCUCUGUCGUAAAGAUCUCUUGGCAGCAAGGGAUUCUCCGGCCAUGUUUCUUCAAUGUAUUCUAGAAUGACAAGAGACUCAGCAAUUGGCUUGCCGUCAUGAACAAGGACUGGGAUCUUUUUAUAAAUUGGAUUGUAUUUCAAUAGCAAUUCACUCUUGUUAAGAAGGUCUUCUUCUAUGUAUUCAUACUCUACACCUUUUAAUUUCAGAGCCCAGAUAACUCUGCAGCUAAAAGGGCUGGACCAGAAACCAUGUAGCUUCACUUCUGCCAUUGUUGUGGUGAGUUGAAGAACUCAAGAUUGCAAGGUAUGAGUCGUUUUAUAGUGAUCUAUGGCUUGGGCAAUAAGAUUGGGUUUGGAAAUUUGGAUACAAGGAGCAUUUUUUAUUUUAUUUUUUCCAAGUAAUGACGUGACGAAGCCAACAACUUUGGAUUUUUAUUUAUUAAAAUACGGAUAUUGCUACGGUCAAGAUGCCAAGAUAUACUGCUGUGCCAAGUCGUUUUAUAAUCUAUAAUGACUCUUGCUUGGGCAAGGGGAAGGGGAAGGCCAAAAUGGCCGCCGGUGGAAGGUUUUUUUCUCUAUGAUACAGAUGUGACAGUUAUAGCUAUUGAAUUUGAAUAUAGUAACGACUACAAUGACUUCAAUGGCUGUAUUUCUUAUAACAAAACUGUGGAUUUUGCAUAACCCAAAUCUCAUUAAAUUAGAAUAAAAAUAUCAGAAAAGCUUUCUGCAUCAGUUCUUACAGGCCCAAGGAUGAUCAAGUCGGUAACAGUAGAUCUCUUCUAUUUAUUUAUUUUUCCCGCAACUAAACAACUACCCUUAUGGACCAAUGGGUUUUUAUCUGGAUUUUGCAAAACUCCAGGUAUUAUCAAAUAAAAAAUCCAACUGAGGAAAAUCCAAGGUGCUCUCAAUGCACAAGCAGAACCACUGAAAAAUUCCAUAGAAAAUAGUUCAGCCGAAGAGAAACAAUAACUAAGCUUUUGCUUUUAUGGACUUGUACUGCUUCAUCUCCUUAAUAACACCAUCUGCAAGAGCAUCAGCAUCGUUGUUCUUCCCAAAGAAUUUCACUAGUUCCAUGUUAGGGUCCAUCAAGUAUCUGCACAAGAUUAUGGAGAUAUUGUUAACAAACAGAAAUUUAAAAACAAAGGUUGAAAACGUAGUCCCCCUCUGAUGUUGAAAAUGUUAUAUGCUACGUAAGCUCCAUUAAUUGUCUGUUUUAAGUCUCCACUAGGAGUAGACAUUAUUCUUGUCAUACUCGAGCCACCAAAGAAGUAGAGAGUUUAAGAGAUGGAAAGUUAAUUUGAAAGUUUGAAGUUCACGGAAAGGGAGUUCAAUUAACACUAAGCACGCCCAUAAGAAAUAUUUACGUGAUUAUGGAGUGAUCCACAAGGUAAUCUGAAUCUUCUUCAGAUGUCUUCAUAUAAUAGAUCCUGUAUGCACGAGCAGUUUUCUUUAUCUCUUCUGGGCUGCCUGUUAACCCGAUUAGUUUUGGAUGGAACUCUGUAAUGGAGGAAAAGAUAAAAAAAUCACUAAUUAAAUUACAAGUAGAACAUGGUAAUAAAUUAAAAUUGUAAUCCAAAUGUGUGUAUAGAAUCACCUUUGACAUUAUCUCUCUCGGGAUCCACAGUUAUGUAUACAUUACAAACCACGAUAUCAAUUUUUUUAGAGUAAAAACAACAUGAGAUAAAAAAAAUCAAUAAGUUUUUAUUAGAUCGUGGGAUAAUUUAAGUUUUUUUUUUAUUUUGAAUUGAUUUUUUAAUCAAUCGACUUCAGCUAAACAUAUGAUCAAUCUGGAUUUAUGUAAUAGCUAAAAUAAAUUUUCUUAUCCUUAUCUUAAAAAAAAAAAAAAAGUAACUAGGAAUGGUUUUAUUUCAAUUCAAUUGCUACAAAAAGCUUGAGCAAGCAACCAAAUCCAAAGCCCUUUGUGUUCGCGUUUCUAUCAACUUUCCCAUUAAAUAAAAAAAAACUCAAUAAAUUAGCAAUUCUUUUUCAAGAAGCAAACUAGUAACAUUUAUUUAUUGUUUUCUUAAACUAGCACCUCUAACACAAACAAGUGUACCCAUGUGUAGCCCAGCAGUGGUAGGGUUUUCUACCUCUGCAUCCUGGGUUCAAGCUUCAGCGUGCACGCCUGUUACUCAUGUGAUGUCUUAUCUGUUUACUGGACUUGCAGGGUGUUCAGUGGGCCCGAGAAUUAAUCGUGGUGCGUGUAAGCUGACACCCCGGGUUAUAAAAAAAAAAAAAAAAAAGUGUACCCAUGUGUCUUCCUAUUGGCAGCUACCUCUACAUAUAAUAUUGUUGGCGAUCUUAUCUAAGCCAAUUUCCUUACAAUUUCAAAUGUGACAAAUUGAAUAAGACAGCUCUCAAACAAAAUAUACAAAAGUACAAAACAUAGGCAAACUUUAAUAAAGAAACUAAGAACCGAAGAGGACGGCUAGGAGACUGGAGCACAAGACAGAUUUAGGCCUUGUUGUGUCGGUCGAGGAAGAGGCAGAGUGGACCGUUGCCAUCCAUUUUUGUUUUAAAUGCACCUUCUACAUCAAAUUAAGCUAAAUGUGUCUCUCCCUCCCGAGCUCUCAAAACUAUAUAAUAUUUGAUGAAGAAGAUAUCGGAGGUGUUGAGAUGUCAGAUGUUGAUCUUGAUAAGACAAACCACCGCAAAUGAUAGGAUGACAGUAGUGUAGAUGAUGUUUUUCAUGUUCUUAAAGUAGUUUGAUCAUAACUUCAGCUCUGGAUGUUAGAACGCCACAGGCUAUCAUUUCAGAGUGUGUGUUGCUGGUGAUCUUUCAUAAUUUAAGUAAUUUUUAUUUUUUUCUUUUCUUUGAGCGAAAAAAAAAACUAAAAAGAGAUUCAUGGUCCAUGUUUCGAGCCUCAAAUUCCUGUUGUUUUAGGUAUUAAUUUGUUUUCUUUUUUUUUAUCCUUAAAUAUUUUUAUAAAUUCUUAGGAAUUGAAAAACAUUUUUAUUUUAUUGAAUAAUCAGGAUUUAUUAUUUUUAUAAUUUUACUAAUUACCUUAACCCAACUUGUGGGCUAAUUCGGCAAUUCAAUAAUAAUUCAGACUUUCUAUUAUUUUAUGAGACUAUUAUCUAGUGUUGACCUUAAACCCUUGUGAUUUUCAAUUCCUUAAUAAAUUCCUUUUCGAAAUAGUUGUAGAUGAGAGUUUGUCUUUUAUCAUUUUGGAUUUGAGUUUUGAAAAAGAACACGAAAAAUAAAUCUCUUCAUAAAUAUAUCAAUCUAAAUAUAAAUUAUUCAUAUAGAAUCCAACUAUAAUAUUUCAUAAAAACCAACCUAUGAAUUAUAUAGAAAAUACCUCUUUGUUUAAAAUAAAAAAAAAUCUCAAUUUAUUCUUUAACCAAAAAUUUUAUUAAUCUGAUAAAACUUAUAUUAAAAAAAUUAUAAGAAAAGGAUUUAACUGAGUUUUUUUUUUGUGAAGUUGUGUCGCGCGCUUACCAAUUCAGUUUCACACAAUUAGAGUGUCGCUAGAAAUUCAUACUGUGAGUGUUUCCUUUUUUCUUUAAAAAAAAAAGCAUUUUGCUUCUUCAAUCCCUCUCGGGCUGAUUGUUUUUCCUUCUGUGUGUUGGCUCCAGUUUCUUUAUUUCUUUGUCAAGCAUCGUUCAAAACUGAAACCAUUUAUCUUUGUAAAAGAUUGAUCAUAUAGUGGCUUUACAAAACGAUCCCAAUUCGAUUACUUGAGAGAAGAUUUCUGUCAUAUCUCACGUCGGUGGGUGAGGGAUUUGUAACUGUUCUUAUUAAGAGUGUUAGUUGUUAACUUGUCAUGCGCGUUUUGGAGCGUAAGACUCAAAAAUAGGCUCGCGUCACCAGGAACAAAACCAUGAGGGUAAUAAGGCCCAAAGCGGACAAUAUAUAGCAAGUUGGACUGUUACAUUUGGUAUCAGAGCCGACCUCACUGGCUGUCCAGUUGUGCCGACGGGGUCGUCGGACUCUUUAAGGGGGAUGGGUUAUCAUAUCUCAUAUCAACAGGUAAGGGAUUGGUAAUUGUCCUUAUUAAGAGUGCUGGUUGCUAACUUGUCAUAUGUCUUUUGAGGUGUCAGGCUCAGAAAUAGACUCACGUAAUCAGGAACAAAACCGUGAGGGUAAUGAGGCCCAAAAAGAACAAUAUAUGGCAAGUUGAGCUGGGUUAUUACAAUCAAUCACAAGCUAUUAAUCAUUUUAUCUAAGAAAAUAAAUAAAACUACAAUGACCAAUUAAUUAACUAAUUAUCUAAUAUAAAAACUUUAUUUAUAAGCUAAUUGUAUUUUCUGAAACUCAUCAAACAACAUGAAUGGCUGCCGCCACCAUUAUUAGUUAUUCAGAGAUAAAGGUUACAUAACCAAAGCAAAGACAUACAUGGAAUAUACUUUCAAAAAUCGAAAGUAUUACAAAGGCUAGUUCUUGCCUAACUUCUCCCUAGCAACUCUCGAAUAGGCCAUCAUCUUGUCAUAGUCAGGAAUGUUCUCUUUAAUCACAGGAACUUCAAUGAAGUUCUUAGCCCAGGCAUGUAAUUUAGGUAACGUGCUUGGUUCCAACACUUUUACACCCACUGCUUCUUCCAAGGCCGGCAACCAGUAAGUACACGGUCCAUAUGAGAUGUCUACUAGAUUUAUACUGUCACCGCCAAAAAACUUUUUGUCUCCGAGGGCUUGAUC
RNAcentral lists this long non-coding RNA (5416 nucleotides) under Populus trichocarpa (black cottonwood). RNAcentral describes it as "long non-coding RNA (PTRI_LNC003691)". The record is from RNAcentral. Lineage: Eukaryota; Viridiplantae; Streptophyta; Magnoliopsida; Malpighiales; Salicaceae.